This 1233-nucleotide long non-coding RNA is filed under the name Anas platyrhynchos platyrhynchos (common mallard). Its description in RNAcentral is "lncRNA (ENSAPLG00000026993.1)". Lineage: Eukaryota; Metazoa; Chordata; Aves; Anseriformes; Anatidae. The record is from RNAcentral.
GGAAGAUUUCAGCCAGUCUGCAUCAGAUAUGUUCCAGUUGUUGACAAUAAAUACAUAUUGUUUCUCUUGUAAUAUGACUUUUUCUGGGUUUCUGCUAGUUCUGUUUCUAGGCGUGUAAUUUAUCUGUCUUGCAGUGACUGUGAGGGGAGUGGCAGGAUCUGGCUGGGUGAGGUGAGCUACCUCCUUUGUGAGCACUUUGUUUUCAGUCUGACUCAGUGCAAGCCGUAACCCUGGCACCGAGUGUAAGGUCACAGCUUUGGUGACUUCAGCACAUCACCCCAGCUCUGGGGAAGACUGGAUCCUCCUAGGGACGAGGGAGACUGGAAACCGCCUUGCUGAAAAUGAGCAAAAUUGCAAAUGGAUGAUGCUCUGUAGGCAUUCCUGCCCAGAAAUCUCAUCCAGCUGAGAUUUCAUGUUAUUUCUGUCAAUAACGGGGUAUCACUGUGCGUACGGGUAUCUCUGGUUUCUGUAGAGGGCAUCUGAGGUGCAGGAGAGAAAUGAGUUGCUGAAGGUCUCACGCAAGUCUUGCACUUAAUCUGUGGAAGGAAUCCAGCCACCCUUGUCCCCCAUUUCCACAGUAACGUUCAAGCUUCAGGAAAGCUACAGAGUAGUAAACAACUGCUGGGAAUAAAUGAGCUUGUCAUGCUAAGCGUACUCCUAAAGGGAUGCUGUGCUACCUCUUUUUUCUUUAUAAAAAACAGCUGGCCCACAGUGGCUGUAGUAUCUAAGCCUAGGAUAAAAGAGGAUUGAAGUCUCCCAGUGCUAACAGGGUAUCUCAAGCUGCCUUGUGGCCUGCAGGUGAUUGAGAGCACAUGUAGCUCUACUGCUAACAGCACACGAGCUGCUUGGUGAACUCUUUUUCCAUUGGCAGCUUUUACUGCAUAGGCAGGAGGUGUCUCUUCAACCAGUGCCUCUCAAUCUGCCUUCUCCUCUCUUCUCUUCCAUUGACUCAGGUUCAGAAUCUGCAGAAUGACACUGAAAGCACAGCCUAGUACUAGGAGUUCUGCUUCGGUCCAGAGUGUCUCUGCUUUCAUGGAACUGCAACAGUAUGAUCUCUGCUUGCUUCUAAGAGAAAUAAGGAGCUGUAAGGACGUACAGCCCUCUGCUCCUCUGAAGCACGGCUGGAUACAGCACACUGCGAACAGCACUCCAGCCAGCCCCCGCGUGCUACCAGCUGUGAGAGAGGGCAGCAGCUGCACCUCUCAGCCAUACAGCAACUGCAGCAGGCCCUGA